This 644-nucleotide ribosomal RNA is filed under the name Rhodonia placenta. Its description in RNAcentral is "eukaryotic LSU rRNA". The stretch from base 216 to 369 matches the Rfam family "5.8S ribosomal RNA". The record is from RNAcentral. Lineage: Eukaryota; Fungi; Basidiomycota; Agaricomycetes; Polyporales; Adustoporiaceae.
UGGGGACUGCGGAGACAUUAAUGAUUUUGAAGGGGUUGUAGCUGGCCUUUUAGGAGGCAUGUGCACACCCUGCUCUUCCAUUCUUACCCCUGUGCACACUCUGUAGGUCGGUUUGAGCGGUUCUCUCUAACGGGGGAUGCUGUUUGGCCUUCCUAUGUUUUAUAACAAACUCUGUAAUGUCAUAGAAUGUCAUCGCGUAUAACGCAUUAUAAUAUAACUUUCAGCAACGGAUCUCUUGGCUCUCGCAUCGAUGAAGAACGCAGCGAAAUGCGAUAAGUAAUGUGAAUUGCAGAAUUCAGUGAAUCAUCGAAUCUUUGAACGCACCUUGCGCUCCUUGGUAUUCCGAGGAGCAUGCCUGUUUGAGUGUCAUGGAAUUCUCAACCCUCUUAUCCUUGUGGUGAGAUUGGGUUGGAUUUGGAGGUUUAUGCUGGCUUGUAAUGAGUCGGCUCCUCUUGAAUGCAUUAGCUUGGACCUUUGCGGACCAGCUUUUCGGUGUGAUAAUUGUCUACGCCGUGGGCUGUGAUGCUGUUUAACAUGCUUCGGCGUGUUGGGGUUCUGCUUCUAAUGGUCCCUUUGGUGGGACAACUUACUUUGACCUCUGACCUCAAAUCAGGUAGGAUUACCCGCUGAACUUAAGCAUAUCA